GGUGGUUCUCUAGUGAUGCACCCUGGAAUAGGGCUCCCUCCUGUCUGGUUCCACGUGCAUCACCCGCGAAGUGCA
Molecule: non-coding RNA, 75 nt
Organism: Myotis lucifugus (little brown bat)
Lineage: Eukaryota; Metazoa; Chordata; Mammalia; Chiroptera; Vespertilionidae
Source: Rfam